This 224-nucleotide unclassified non-coding RNA is filed under the name uncultured bacterium. RNAcentral's name for it is "contains 16S-23S intergenic spacer region". The record is from RNAcentral.
UCCGGCUUUCACCGGCUGUCCCGUGCAUGUCAAGCCCUGGUAAGGUUCUUCGCGUAGCUUCGAAUUAAACCGCACGCUCCGCUGCUUGUGCGGGCCCCCGUCAAUUCCUUUGAGUUUUAGCCUUGCGGCCGUACUCCCCAGGCGGUCAACUUCACGCGUUAGCUUCGUUACCAAGGGAAUCAAUCCCCCGACAACCAGUUGACAUAGUUUAGGGCGUGGACUAC